GGGUAUGUAGCUCAAUUGGUAGAGCAGGCGACUCUUAAUCGUCAGGUUUGGGGUUCGAUUCCCCACAUGCCCACCA
Molecule: transfer RNA, 76 nt
Filed under: Deltaproteobacteria bacterium
Lineage: Bacteria; Pseudomonadati; Myxococcota; Myxococcia
Description: tRNA-Lys
Rfam family: tRNA
About the family: Transfer RNA (tRNA) molecules are approximately 80 nucleotides in length. Their secondary structure includes four short double-helical elements and three loops (D, anti-codon, and T loops). Further hydrogen bonds mediate the characteristic L-shaped molecular structure. tRNAs have two regions of fundamental functional importance: the anti-codon, which is responsible for specific mRNA codon recognition, and the 3' end, to which the tRNAs corresponding amino acid is attached (by aminoacyl-tRNA synthetases). tRNAs cope with the degeneracy of the genetic code in two manners: having more than one tRNA (with a specific anti-codon) for a particular amino acid; and 'wobble' base-pairing, i.e. permitting non-standard base-pairing at the 3rd anti-codon position.
Source: RNAcentral